This 1591-nucleotide long non-coding RNA is filed under the name Phaseolus vulgaris (common bean). RNAcentral describes it as "long non-coding RNA (PVUL_LNC005185)". The record is from RNAcentral. Lineage: Eukaryota; Viridiplantae; Streptophyta; Magnoliopsida; Fabales; Fabaceae.
UUUAAAUUUGGGGUUCCUAGCAUGUGUGAGCAAAUUUAAAGAGAAGGUUAGUUGGAUAAUAGAUAGAUUAUGGAUUUAUCAUUUUUUUCAUGCUUUUUCACUCUUCAUGACAGAGAUUCGUGAAUGAUUCAUGCAGACUAUACUUGUUGUGUUGACCAUGAGUAAGUGAGGCUUUUACAAUGAAAUUAAAAACCCAUGUUGAUUAGUGUGCUAAGUUCAUAGUUUGAACCUUCAAAUCAUGGUUUCAUGGUGUUGUGGUUGGUGUGAGGUGCUUUGUUCCAAUGUCAUCUGCGUGUGCUACUUGGUUGAUGUUUGUGGCUUUGAAGAAUUGAAGGUGUGUUGGUGUUGGUAUGCGAAGACAAGUUGUUGUUGGAUCUUGGUGUCAAAAUCAACACGUAAGGUGAGGUUCAUGGUUCCCUGGUUCAUACAUGAAGUUUGAUGUGUUUUUAUAAAACAAAUCCACAAAUCAAAGGGCAACAUAAUCGAUUAUAGGAGGGGAUAACCAAUUAUGCUAUCAGUUUUUUACAUGGUAUUUUCCUUCUAGUCACGAUGUUUUCGUUCUAGUUGUAGGUUGUUUCGUGUGCAUGAUCUAGUUUUCCCUUAAAUGAUAAUCGAUUAAUGGAAUGACGUUUUGUAGGUGCAACCAUCAAGGAAGGUGUAGUUAUGUUUUUGUAAUUCUCUUGAUAGUGUCGUGGUUGUACCAACAAGUAAGUUCUCAAGUACAUCGUGUUCCCACGAUUGAUGUCAUGGAUAUGCAGUUUGAUACGCUUACAAUCAAGUUAGACGUAUUUAUGAAUGCAAUUGGGAUAGGAAAUGCCUGGACAAAAAAAAUUGUCUUCCAUUGCUAAACGACAAGGUAUGACACCUGGAUGACAAGUGCUAGCAAUUGAAAGAUGAAAUGAACUUGUUACUGAAUAGGUCAGUCUCAUGCGUCAGACCUUAGCAUUUUAGUACUUUGGAAGUGACGUUUGGGAGAUUUUAGUUACCAUGAACAUAAGGACGGGAAAAUUAUGGAACAAUGUUACAACUUCUUGUGUAUCAACCCAUCCACUACAAAGCGUCUUUUGGGUAUAUGCCUCCACAUCGUCGUUUGAACAAGUUACUUAAUCUUAUGAUUAUCAGUGGUUAAUCUUAUGAUUAUCAGUGGUUGAAAUCCACGUUUGUAGGAUGCUUUUAAACUGUUUUGUUUUUCUUUAGUUUAUGGUUAUGUAAUCUUAGAACACCAUUUAACAUUAAUGUGUACUAAUUUAUUUUAUAUUAUUAAGUAAUUUUUAAAUUUUGUUACUACCUUAUUUAAAAUGUUAUAAUUGGAAACAAGAAUAAUGCACUGACUAAUGUUUUUAAAUGUCUUAAGUUGUGCAUGGAUGGCUUUGUCUUCAUCAUCUAAAAGACAAAGAAGUGUCAACCAAAGGAAAGGAAAAGUCUAAGCCAAUGCGAAUGGAGUUCCUAGUCCUAAGCUCCAAUAAUUGAGGACAUUUUAAGUCACACAUGUUUCUUCAACAAGCAUGAUCAAAUGAUUUAUAUAUGAAGGAUUUUUACUACCAUAUUGUUCUGGCAGCAAGAUAAUGAAUUUUGUAUACUUUGUUGAGUC